GACAGAGGCCCACGAACGUUGUUCGGAAUUACUGGGCAUAAAGCGCACGUAGGCGGCCUCCUAAGUCGGACGUGAAAGCCCCAGGCUUAACCUGGGAACUGCGUCUGAUACUGGGAGGCUUGGAUUCGGGAGAGGGAUGUGGAAUUCCAGGUGUAGCGGUGAAAUGCGUAGAUAUCUGGAGGAACACCGGUGGCGAAGGCGGCAUCCUGGACCGAGAUCGACGCUGAGGCGCGAAAGCUAGGGGAGCAAAC
This 251-nucleotide ribosomal RNA is filed under the name uncultured bacterium. RNAcentral's name for it is "partial 16S ribosomal RNA". It matches the Rfam family "Bacterial small subunit ribosomal RNA", at positions 524 to 773 of the family's 1533-position model. The record is from RNAcentral.